This 330-nucleotide ribosomal RNA is filed under the name uncultured bacterium. Its description in RNAcentral is "bacterial SSU rRNA". It matches the Rfam family "Bacterial small subunit ribosomal RNA", at positions 568 to 898 of the family's 1533-position model. The record is from RNAcentral.
UUCGUAGGCGGUGCGGCAAGUUGGGAGUGAAAUCUCUGGGCUUAACCCAGAGGCUGCUUCCAAAACUGCUGUGCUUGAGUGUGGGAGAGGCGCGUGGAAUUGCAGGUGUAGCGGUGAAAUGCGUAGGUAUCUGCAGGAACACCCGUGGCGAAAGCGGCGCGCUGGACCACAACUGACGCUGAGGAACGAAAGCUAGGGGAGCAAACAGGAUUAGAUACCCUGGUAGUCCUAGCCCUAAACGAUCAGGACUUGGGGUGCCGCCCGUUCGGGCGUCGUCCCGGAGCUAACGCGUUAAGUCCUGCACCUGGGGAGUACGGUCGCAAGACUGAA